ACUGUGAGCUCGAUGAGUAGGGCGGGACACGUGGUAUCCUGUCUGAAUAUGGGGGGACCAUCCUCCAAGGCUAAAUACUCCUGACUGACCGAUAGUGAACCAGUACCGUGAGGGAAAGGCGAAAAGAACCCCGGCGAGGGGAGUGAAAAAGAACCUGAAACCGUGUACGUACAAGCAGUGGGAGCCUCUUAAUGGGGUGACUGCGUACCUUUUGUAUAAUGGGUCAGCGACUUAUAUUCUGUAGCAAGGUUAACCGAAUAGGGGAGCCGAAGGGAAACCGAGUCUUAACUGGGCGUUAAGUUGCAGGGUAUAGACCCGAAACCCGGUGAUCUAGCCAUGGGCAGGUUGAAGGUUGGGUAACACUAACUGGAGGACCGAACCGACUAAUGUUGAAAAAUUAGCGGAUGACUUGUGGCUGGGGGUGAAAGGCCAAUCAAACCGGGAGAUAGCUGGUUCUCCCCGAAAGCUAUUUAGGUAGCGCCUCGUGAAUUCAUCUCCGGGGGUAGAGCACUGUUUCGGCAAGGGGGUCAUCCCGACUUACCAACCCGAUGCAAACUGCGAAUACCGGAGAAUGUUAUCACGGGAGACACACGGCGGGUGCUAACGUCCGUCGUGAAGAGGGAAACAACCCAGACCGCCAGCUAAGGUCCCAAAGUCAUGGUUAAGUGGGAAACGAUGUGGGAAGGCCCAGACAGCCAGGAUGUUGGCUUAGAAGCAGCCAUCAUUUAAAGAAAGCGUAAUAGCUCACUGGUCGAGUCGGCCUGCGCGGAAGAUGUAACGGGGCUAAACCAUGCACCGAAGCUGCGGCAGCGACACUAUGUGUUGUUGGGUAGGGGAGCG
Molecule: ribosomal RNA, 840 nt
Filed under: Escherichia coli
Lineage: Bacteria; Pseudomonadati; Pseudomonadota; Gammaproteobacteria; Enterobacterales; Enterobacteriaceae
Description: partial 23S ribosomal RNA
Rfam family: Bacterial large subunit ribosomal RNA
Source: RNAcentral